Arvicanthis niloticus (Nile rat) is the source of this 605-nucleotide non-coding RNA. The record is from RefSeq and is a predicted model, not a curated record. Lineage: Eukaryota; Metazoa; Chordata; Mammalia; Rodentia; Muridae.
GAAGAUAUGAUAGCCUGGAAUCUGGAACAAUUUAGACUUCAAAAUCAUCCCAUCAAGGACAGUGUGGUGUUGGGGUAAGACUCAACCCAGUGAGAAAUGGUCUUCCGUUAGGAUUUAAUGUAUAUGACAGAUCUUGUAUUUGUCAUAGGACAAGAACUUCUCCAGCCUCAUGAAGCAUCAGGGCACUUGGCUGAACUUUGCAUGGAGAUGCACUGUGGGAGGCUGAGGCAGGAAGAUUGCCACAAGUUGUAUGUGUGGCUACUCCUGAGUUUCUACCCUCAUGGUUUGUUCACCCUAGAGCCGAAGGAAACAAGGAGGAGAAGAGGCCAGCCCAGCAGACAACACCCCUAGAGCUAGAAAUUUCUCAACCAGCAGCAACGUCCCUAUUUCAGCAUGGAAGCCACUGGCUGCAAGGACCUCAUUUGGGCAUGCAGAUUUGCACCAUGAGAAGGACAGUUGCUUUCUCCCAGGGCAAUGAUUCUUGUUUUCCUGUGGAAACUCAUGCUGCCAAAAAUUGAUAGUUUCUCACAGCUUGCCUGACAGGUACAAUUGUCGCCUGGAACAGAAUAAAGAGACAAUGCAAAGUAGAUCCUCUAAGCUGCCUU